RNAcentral lists this ribosomal RNA (484 nucleotides) under uncultured bacterium. RNAcentral describes it as "partial 16S ribosomal RNA". It matches the Rfam family "Bacterial small subunit ribosomal RNA", at positions 29 to 507 of the family's 1533-position model. The record is from RNAcentral.
AUUGAACGCUGGCGGAAUGCUUUACACAUGCAAGUCGAGCGGCAGCACGGGGGCAACCCUGGUGGCGAGCGGCGAACGGGUGAGUAAUACAUCGGAACAUGCCCAGUCGUGGGGGAUAACACUUCGAAAGAAGUGCUAAUACCGCAUACGUCCUGAGGGGGAAAGCGGGGGAUCGCAAGACCUCGCGGGUUUGGAGUGGCCGAUGUCAGAUUAGCUAGCUGGUGGGGUAAAGGCCUACCAAGGCAACGAUCUGUAGCUGGUCUGAGAGGAUGAUCAGCCACACUGGGACUGAGACACGGCCCAGACUCCUACGGGAGGCAGCAGUGGGGAAUUUUGGACGAAGGAGGCAACCCCGAUCCAGCCAUUCCGCGUGAGUGAAGAAGGCCUUCGGGUUGUAAAGCUCUUUCGGCAGGAACGAAACGGUGAGCUCUAACAUAGCUUGCUAAUGACGGUACCUGAAGAAGAAGCCCCGGCUAACUACGUG